UUCGGAGGUCAGAGCUCGGCGGGGUGCGGCUAGUGGCGGAGCGCGCUGCGAGGGAGGGCUUUCCACUGUCGCUGGCGUGAACUCGCGUGCCCGGUGGAUAUCAGGGAAGAACCCCCGCCCCGGACCCCCAGAUCUGCUAUGGCCGAGGUAGCGAUCGUCUCUGCGGCCACGAAGACUGUUUUAACUUGUACCACUUUCCCUUCCAUUUUUCCUGGGGUGCCUCUCACCCUGCAUCUGCGCGUUCAGCAAGCUGGAUUUCGGGAAUGCUCAGUUCAGAAGAGAAAAAAUUGCCGGGAAUCAAGUCCUUCUUUUUGUUAGUCGGUAGUCGAUUGAUGGGAAGUGUUCAAAAUGAUUCGAUGUGGUGACAAGGCUUCACCAGGUACUGCCUUCUAACUUGAGUUGGCCAUUUCCACAUGUCAGAUAGGACCAACUUGCCUUUUAACUACCCGUGUGAUACUUAAACACUGUUGCCGGUAUCACAGCUUUUCUUCAAAACAGGAAGCAACGAGAAUGAGGGCAUUCCAGUAGC
This 529-nucleotide long non-coding RNA is filed under the name Pan troglodytes (chimpanzee). RNAcentral's name for it is "lincRNA". Lineage: Eukaryota; Metazoa; Chordata; Mammalia; Primates; Hominidae. The record is from RNAcentral.